Molecule: long non-coding RNA, 719 nt
Organism: Triticum dicoccoides
Lineage: Eukaryota; Viridiplantae; Streptophyta; Magnoliopsida; Poales; Poaceae
Exons: 2
Source: RefSeq, a predicted model, not a curated record
UUUGAGGGGCUCACUCUAUUUCAGCAGCAUCCAAGCUCGGAUGUGCACGUGGACCAGGCCCACAGAAAAUAUGACCCAGUCCUUCUCGUGGACGGCCCAGGUUUAUACGAAGUUCGGCCCGAUCCAUGUGUACGCAUCGCGCUCCCGUGAACGAGACGGACCCGGCGAAACGCGGCGGCUGCCAAGAUCCGCGCCGCGCAGCCUCGCCGCCGCGUUCGACGAGGGAGCUCGGGCACGCUCGAUCCGCGCGGCGCAGCCUCGCCGCCUAUAGAGAGUCUGAUUCGGAGAUGUGCGGGAUGCGGGCCAGCGGCGCGGCAGCGUCGUGGGCGGUGGGGCGGGCGCGCACCUCGACGACCCGGACGGCGCCGCCAUCUCGGUGCUCCUCGACUCCCGCUUCGACGGCGACAAGCUCGACGCCCUCAAGAACCUUCUCGCCCUCGUCUCUCGGGCCGUCGACGUCGCCCACCUCUCCCCGCAGCGAGUAGAAAAUGUUAUUUUUUGGAAGAUUCAAGGAUGUUCGAGGAGUGACCAAAAGCAUUGAAGACUUUGCCGAGCGAGGCAAGGAACCUACUCUAAUCAUGUUGAACCAUAUUUGCAUUGCACAUUUCGAAUUAUUUUCCAUGCAUAAAGUAUUAUUUUGCUAGUAUUGCUAUGCUAAGUAAGUUAGCUAGGGUUAAGCUAUGCCUUAUCUGCUUGAAAUUGACACCCCCUUUGACAUU